This 492-nucleotide ribosomal RNA is filed under the name uncultured bacterium. RNAcentral's name for it is "partial 16S ribosomal RNA". It matches the Rfam family "Bacterial small subunit ribosomal RNA", at positions 29 to 507 of the family's 1533-position model. The record is from RNAcentral.
AGUGAACGCUGGCGGUAGGCCUAACACAUGCAAGUCGAACGGCAGCACAGUAAGAGCUUGCUCUUACGGGUGGCGAGUGGCGGACGGGUGAGGAAUACAUCGGAAUCUACUUUUUCGUGGGGGAUAACGUAGGGAAACUUACGCUAAUACCGCAUACGACCUACGGGUGAAAGCAGGGGAUCUUCGGACCUUGCGCGAUUGAAUGAGCCGAUGUCGGAUUAGCUAGUUGGCGGGGUAAAGGCCCACCAAGGCGACGAUCCGUAGCUGGUCUGAGAGGAUGAGCAGCCACACUGGAACUGAGACACGGUCCAGACUCCUACGGGAGGCAGCAGUGGGGAAUAUUGGACGAUGGGCGCAAGCCUGAUCCAGCCAUACCGCGUGGGUGAAGAAGGCCUUCGGGUUGUAAAGCCCUUUUGUUGGGAAAGAAAAGCAGCAGGUUAAUACCCCGCUGUUCUGACGGUACCCAAAGAAUAAGCACCGGCUAACUUCGUG